CGCGGCGAUGGUUCAUUCAAAUUUCUGCCCUUAUCAACUUUCGAUGGUAUGGUCUUGGCUACCAUGGUUUCAACGGGUACGGGGAAUUAGGGUUCUAUUCCGGAGAGGGAGCUGAGAAACGGUACCACAUCCAAGGAAGGCAGCAGGCGCGCAAAUUACCCAAUCCCGACACGGGGAGGUAGUGACAAUAAAUACUGAUACAGGGCUCUUUUGGGUCUUGUAAUUGGAAUGAGUACAAUUUAAAUCCCUUAACGAGGAACAAUUGGAGGGCAAGUCUGGUGCCAGCAGCCGCGGUAAUUCCAGCUCCAAUAGCGUAUAUUAAAGUUGUUGCAGUUAAAAAGCUCGUAGUUGAACCUUGGCCUGGUUGGUCGGUCCGGCCUCACCGGUGGCACUUGAU
RNAcentral lists this ribosomal RNA (397 nucleotides) under uncultured fungus. RNAcentral's name for it is "SSU rRNA". It matches the Rfam family "Eukaryotic small subunit ribosomal RNA", at positions 283 to 682 of the family's 1831-position model. The record is from RNAcentral. Lineage: Eukaryota; Fungi.